Molecule: ribosomal RNA, 254 nt
Filed under: uncultured bacterium
Lineage: Bacteria
Description: partial 16S ribosomal RNA
Rfam family: Bacterial small subunit ribosomal RNA
Source: RNAcentral
UACGGAGGGUGCGAGCGUUGUCCGGAAUCAUUGGGCGUAAAGGGCGCGUAGGUGGCCCGGUCAGCGUGCGGUGAAAGCUCGGGGCUCAACCCCGAGUCGGCCGUGCGAACUGCUGGGCUUGAGCACUGUAGAGGCAGGCGGAAUUCCGGGUGUAGCGGUGGAAUGCGUAGAGAUCCGGAAGAACACCGGUGGCGAAGGCGGCCUGCUGGGCAGUGGCUGACACUGAGUGAGCGAAAGCCAGGGGAGCAAACGGG